RNAcentral lists this ribosomal RNA (254 nucleotides) under uncultured bacterium. RNAcentral's name for it is "partial 16S ribosomal RNA". It matches the Rfam family "Bacterial small subunit ribosomal RNA", at positions 524 to 776 of the family's 1533-position model. The record is from RNAcentral.
UACGGGGGGGGCAAGCGUUGUUCGGAAUUACUGGGCGUAAAGGGCUCGUAGGCGGCCAACUAAGUCGGAUGUGAAAUCCCCAGGCUUAACCUGGGAACUGCAUCCGAUACUGGAUGGCUUGAAUUCGGGAGAGGGAUGCAGAAUUCCAGGUGUAGCGGUGAAAUGCGCAGAUAUCAGGAGGAACACCGGUGGCGAAGGCGGUUCUCUGGGCAUGUCCUGACGCUGGAGGAGCGAAAGUGUGGGGAGCGAACAGG